GACCCGUCUUGAAACACGGACCAAGGAGUCUAGCAUAUAUGCGAGUGUGCUGGUUUUAAACCGAUACGCGAAACGUAGGUGAAAUGUACCAAGCGCAAGUGCAGUACAGGCCGACAGCGGGCUAUAGCCCGGGGAUUGAGCAAGAGCAUAUCUGUUAGGACCCGAAAGAUGGUGAACUAUGCCUGUGUAGAGAGAAGUCAGGGGAAACCCUGAUGGAGGCUCGUAGCGAUACUGACGUGCAAAUCGUUCGUCGAACAUGGGUAUAGGGGCGAAAGACCAAUCGAACUAUCUAGUAGCUGGUUCCUUCCGA
RNAcentral lists this ribosomal RNA (310 nucleotides) under uncultured ciliate. Its description in RNAcentral is "LSU rRNA". It matches the Rfam family "Eukaryotic large subunit ribosomal RNA", at positions 646 to 964 of the family's 3401-position model. Lineage: Eukaryota; Ciliophora. The record is from RNAcentral.